CUGGCGGCACGCCUAACACAUGCAAGUCGAACGAAGUAGCAAUACUUAGUGGCAGACGGGUGAGUAACAUGUAGGUAUCUGCCCUUUGGCCUGGAAUAACACGAGGAAACUUGUGCUAAUACCGGAUAAGUCUUCACGGAGAAAGCUUUAUGCACCAUUGGAUGAGCCUGCACUUGAUUAGUUUGUUGGUGGGGUAAUGGCCUACCAAGACUGUGAUCAAUAGCUGAUUUGAGAGGAUGAUCAGCCACAUUGGGACUGAGACACGGCCCAAACUCCUACGGGAGGCAGCAGUGGGGAAUCUUGCACAAUGGAGGAAACUCUGAUGCAGCGAUGCCGCGUGAGUGAAGAAGGCCCUUGGGUUGUAAAGCUCUUUCGUCGGGGAAGAAAAUGACUGUACCCGAAUAAGAAGGUCCGGCUAA
This 419-nucleotide ribosomal RNA is filed under the name uncultured bacterium. Its description in RNAcentral is "bacterial SSU rRNA". It matches the Rfam family "Bacterial small subunit ribosomal RNA", at positions 36 to 500 of the family's 1533-position model. The record is from RNAcentral.